UCCACAGAGCGUGCCAGGAAGAUGUC
This 26-nucleotide non-coding RNA is filed under the name Homo sapiens (human). The record is from RNAcentral. Lineage: Eukaryota; Metazoa; Chordata; Mammalia; Primates; Hominidae.